Molecule: long non-coding RNA, 979 nt
Filed under: Apis dorsata (giant honeybee)
Lineage: Eukaryota; Metazoa; Arthropoda; Insecta; Hymenoptera; Apidae
Description: uncharacterized LOC116186340, transcript variant X2
Source: RNAcentral
UAGAAAGGUACUUUGACCAAGAAAGUGAACAAAGAAGUGACAGCAGAAUAAAGAGGAAUUUAUUAUGUUCGGGGAUUAAAUUAAAUCAACGCAUGUUUUCAUCAUUGGAAGGACGUUCAAUGAUAAAUGUCCUUCGAUCUGCCUUUUAAAAUGUUGAAUUAAUUGGAAAUGGACAAACCCUGAACGAGAGAUGCGACCUUUGAUGUAAGAGAAUAAAGAUAAACGUGUAAUUUGCCUACGGAAAAGUGUACGUAUGACUGUGAUUAUGAGUGUCAUCAAUCGUGAGAAAGACGAAACUCACGGCCAGCUUACUAUGUACUUGCCUACGUGCCCGGUGAACUUCGCCAGAUCUAUCGAUGGAAAAUAAACGGCAUAUCCAUUAUGAUGUUAUUUUACGGUGGAAACAAAAAGAAAGCGAAGAUAUGUAAAUCUUCUAAUAUCCUCCAGAAGAUUCUGGAUGAAAAAUAGUCGACACGUGGUAGGAGAUUGGUAUUACUGGAAGACAGAGAAGAUAAGGAAAGAGGAAUAACAGUAGAAGAUAUAUAGGAUUCGCAGCUAAAUCGUCGAUGCUGUUACGUACGAAGCGCAUCGUUCACCGAGCUGGCAAAUGGACAACAUCUGCAAUGGACAGAUACGUGUUGUGAUACGUGUUGAAUACGUGUUGUGUCUUUAGUACUUAAGAGUGAGAUAGAGAUAGAGAGAAAGAUUUCAGGGAGGAAUUAACUGAAAUCAAGAGUAGGUGGGAGGUCGAAUAGCGUCCUCUCAUUAUGGCCGCCCCUUGGUCCCGGGAUCGUUCGACGAUCCUUGUACGUGUGUCGUCUCUUGUUCACGCUAAAGAUGGGUGUAUAACAAUCGUAUACAGUAUAUCUCCAAAUGUACAUUAAUAUUUAUAGAUUUAUAUGUAGGGUAUCGUGUUAGUUGUAAAUCGGGCAAGAUUUUUGGUGAUUUCUUUUUUUCGUGAAAAAAGUAAGUAAAAGAG